UACGAAGGGGGCUAGCGUUGUUCGGAAUUACUGGGCGUAAAGCGUGCGCAGGCGGCUUCUCAAGUCAGGGGUGAAAGCCCAGAGCUCAACUCUGGAAUUGCCUUUGAGACUGAGUGGCUUGAGUACGGGAGAGGUGAGUGGAAUUCCCAGUGUAGAGGUGAAAUUCGUAGAUAUUGGGAGGAACACCAGUGGCGAAGGCGGCUCACUGGACCGGUACUGACGCUGAUGCGCGAAAGCGUGGGGAGCAAACGGG
Molecule: ribosomal RNA, 253 nt
Filed under: uncultured bacterium
Lineage: Bacteria
Description: partial 16S ribosomal RNA
Rfam family: Bacterial small subunit ribosomal RNA
Source: RNAcentral